Daphnia carinata is the source of this 507-nucleotide long non-coding RNA. RefSeq lists it as uncharacterized. The transcript has 3 exons. NCBI's taxonomy places the organism in Eukaryota, Metazoa, Arthropoda, Branchiopoda, Diplostraca, Daphniidae. The record is from RefSeq and is a predicted model, not a curated record.
GGAUAUUCUGCCAUGUACAUGAUAAACCUCGGAUUCUUCGUCAACAUGCUAGAUGUUACCCCCUGCAAACUACUGUUGACAGAAAAGCUGAUACAUUGGGACAAUGGUUACAGCAAGUGUGAUGAAUAAAUCACCAUAGAUCAGUUGCCUUGCCUUCCCAAUUGCAACAAAGACGAAUCAUGGAGUCAAAAAUAUCAAAAGAAUGUGCUGGAAUUCAUGUCAUCCUGGAGAGGACUAAAAAAAAGAGAUGUAUCCAUGAAGCAGUUCAUUAGUCAUGUCCCAAAUGAAUGCCUGUGUCAACCAGCAAUCUUUUAAUGGCUAACAGGGAUUUAAUGGUUUUGAAAAUCGCAGGCGACAUUCCUAAAUCCCACCUGUAAAAAGAUUUGACUACAACAAUUUUUAUUCUGAUCUGAUGCCUGCCAAAUUCUUUUCCCAUAAAAUGAGGUGAUAUGAGGUUAAACAGUUUUCCAAACAGUGAAGGUUUUUCGAAACUCUUCCCUAACUGAA